AAUGAAUGCUGGCGGCAUGGAUUAGGCAUGCAAGUUGAACGAGAAAUUCACUUCGGUGAAUGGAAAGUGGCGAAAGGGUGAGUAACGCGUGAAUAAUCUGCCCCUAAGUUUGGAACAACAGUUGGAAACGACUGCUAAUACCGGAUGUGACUAUUAAGACGCAUGUUUUAAUAUUUAAAGGUUACGCUUAGGGAUGAGUUCGCGUGCCAUUAUGCUAGUUGGUAAGGUAACGGCUUACCAAGGCUAUGACGGCUAGGUGGUCUGAGAGGACGAUCACCCACACUGGGACUGAGACACUGCCCAGACUCCUGCGGGAGGCUGCAGUCGAGAAUCUUCCGCAAUGCGCGAAAGCGUGACGGAGCAAUGCCGCGUGAUCGAAGACGGCCUUCGGGUUGUAAAGAUCUGUCAGGGGGGAAAAACGAUGAUGGUACCCCCAGAGGAAGCCACGGCUAACUACG
RNAcentral lists this ribosomal RNA (458 nucleotides) under uncultured Lentisphaera sp. Its description in RNAcentral is "bacterial SSU rRNA". It matches the Rfam family "Bacterial small subunit ribosomal RNA", at positions 29 to 505 of the family's 1533-position model. Lineage: Bacteria; Pseudomonadati; Lentisphaerota; Lentisphaeria; Lentisphaerales; Lentisphaeraceae. The record is from RNAcentral.